GAUGAACGCUGGCGGCGUGCUUAACACAUGCAAGUCGAACGGAAAGGCUCCUGCUUGCAGGGGUACUCGAGUGGCGAACGGGUGAGUAACACGUGGGUGAUCUGCCCAGCACUUCGGGAUAAGCCUGGGAAACUGGGUCUAAUACCGGAUAGGACGAUGGUUUGGGUGCCAUUGUGGAAAGUUUUUUCGGUGUGGGAUGAGCUCGCGGCCUAUCAGCUUGUUGGUGGGGUAAUGGCCUACCAAGGCGUCGACGGGUAGCCGGCCUGAGAGGGUGUACGGCCACAUUGGGACUGAGAUACGGCCCAGACUCCUACGGGAGGCAGCAGUGGGGAAUAUUGCACAAUGGGCGCAAGCCUGAUGCAGCGACGCCGCGUGGGGGAUGACGGCCUUCGGGUUGUAAACUCCUUUCGCUAGGGACGAAGCGCAAGUGACGGUACCUGGAGAAGAAGCACCGGCUAACUACGUG
RNAcentral lists this ribosomal RNA (466 nucleotides) under uncultured bacterium. RNAcentral's name for it is "partial 16S ribosomal RNA". It matches the Rfam family "Bacterial small subunit ribosomal RNA", at positions 28 to 507 of the family's 1533-position model. The record is from RNAcentral.